AUUAUUGUAUGUUGUAUGAGGUUGUCACUAUUUCUAUUUUUAGUGUAGAAGUUGAGAGUAUUGUGUUUAUUUCGUUUAUAGGGUGCCAGUGUUGGAGUUGUGGGCGUCGCUUGCCGUCUCAGAAAUAUAAAUUACAGUUUUUUUCAGUGUUAUUGUCAAAUUGGCGAUUAUCUGAGGUCUAACUUUACUAUUACCGAGGUUGGCAGUUUUGUGACGCCAGUCGGUCAGAGUCUGGUGGACCUUAAAACCAGGGUGACAAGUUGAUAGCAGUAGCAAAGGAUCCUAGGUUUCAGGAGUGAGAUCUCAGUUUUAGGUUACAGGACAGGUUGUUCAUCUCAGGUUUUCUGUCUAAAGUUUUUGUUUCAAGUUUUGGGACUAACUUCGAGUCUGAGGUUCCAGAUUCCAGACGGCGAGUUGCUAUUUCCAGACCUGGUAAUGCUUUGUGUAUUUGUGAGCUUUGGAUGCUACUAUAAACUAUUACUUAUGGAUCGUCGAUGAACAGUAUCCUGGCUGGACUAUUGAACUACGUGUAUUGCCAGUUGUUGUCUUGAAAGAUCGUCACUGUGUGGACAAUAUUAUGGACCUUACCUUAUAAGUUAAGGGACGCAGGCUUGGGACUCUGUUGGAGUCAGGCUAGAUUGGUCGGAUGGCUGUGUUGUGCCUCCAUGGUUUUAGGUUGUGAGCUUCGAGUUGUGACACUGAUAUUAAGGUGUGCUAUGUUAUUUUGAAUAUAACUUAUACUAACCUUGUAAAUGCACUAUUGAUAUUUAUUCAUUAUUUUUGUCUCAUUAUAGGCCCUUUCAUUAAUUCAUUAAACUUUUGUUUGUCAUAUAAAACCUGGUUAUCAAAUAGUAUACCUUGCUAGUUUUUGUAGUUGCUAUUG
This is a long non-coding RNA of Biomphalaria glabrata, 883 nucleotides long. RefSeq lists it as uncharacterized. NCBI's taxonomy places the organism in Eukaryota, Metazoa, Mollusca, Gastropoda, Planorbidae. The record is from RefSeq and is a predicted model, not a curated record. The transcript is spliced from 3 exons.